This 732-nucleotide ribosomal RNA is filed under the name uncultured Gemmatimonadaceae bacterium. RNAcentral's name for it is "bacterial SSU rRNA". It matches the Rfam family "Bacterial small subunit ribosomal RNA", at positions 334 to 1069 of the family's 1533-position model. Lineage: Bacteria; Pseudomonadati; Gemmatimonadota; Gemmatimonadia; Gemmatimonadales; Gemmatimonadaceae. The record is from RNAcentral.
GACUCCUACGGGAGGCAGCAGUGGGAAUAUUGCGCAAUGGACGAAAGUCUGACGCAGCGACGCCGCGUGUGGGAUGACGGUCUUCGGAUUGUAAACCACUGUCGGGAGGGACGAAUACGCCGCAAGGCGGGUGACGGUACCUCCAAAGGAAGCACCGGCUAACUCCGUGCCAGCAGCCGCGGUAAUACGGAGGGUGCGAGCGUUGUCCGGAAUCACUGGGCGUAAAGGGCGCGUAGGCGGCCUGAUAAGUAGGGGGUGAAAUCCUGCGGCUUAACCGCAGGGCUGCCUUCUAAACUGUCAGGCUUGAGCACAGUAGAGGCAGGUGGAAUUCCCGGUGUAGCGGUGGAAUGCGUAGAGAUCGGGAAGAACAUCAGUGGCGAAGGCGGCCUGCUGGGCUGUUGCUGACGCUGAGGCGCGACAGCGUGGGGAGCAAACAGGAUUAGAUACCCUGGUAGUCCACGCCGUAAACGAUGGGCACUAGGCGUCGGGGGGAGCGACCCUCCCGGUGCCGUCGCUAACGCAGUAAGUGCCCCGCCUGGGGAGUACGGCCGCAAGGCUGAAACUCAAAGGAAUUGACGGGGGCCCGCACAAGCGGUGGAGCAUGUGGUUUAAUUCGAAGCGACGCGAAGAACCUUACCUGAGCUUGACAUGCACGGGAAAGCCGGUGGAAACAUCGGUUCCUCUUCGGAGUCCGUGCACAGGUGCUGCAUGGCUGUCUCAGCUGGCCGAGUU